Molecule: long non-coding RNA, 584 nt
Organism: Ruditapes philippinarum (Manila clam)
Lineage: Eukaryota; Metazoa; Mollusca; Bivalvia; Venerida; Veneridae
Exons: 3
Source: RefSeq, a predicted model, not a curated record
UGAAAUAUUAUGUUGGAGCAUUGGAAAUUAGACCAAAUGAGUUUAAACUGGACAAAUUUACAAGAGUUUUCUGGAAAUAUGAACUUUUAAACAUGUGUAUUUCAUGAUUCAGUUAAAAUGGAGGGAACUACAUGUAUAUAACCAUUUCUAACAGUUGCAAACUUUCAAGUCUUGGAGUCACAUGAGAUGUUUCAACUCAAAGGAUGUCAGAUGGAAAAGUGAUAAAUGUACUGUUGAAUACAGAAUGCUUACAAAACCAUCCUGGACCAACUGCAGAGCAAGGUUAUUGGCAUAACAAGCUACAGUAAGAUGGCCAUUGUUCUAUUCCGCUUUUUGUAUAAAGAGGAGGAAUAUGCCGGAAAAUCAUUGACAGGGAAAGCAUCCAAAAGUGGCGAAAAAAGGCCACCUGUUGACCAAGAAAAGUUGACAGGGAUUUACGGUCAGUGUUUCUUUUUUUUUUCUUUCUUGGUUAUUUAAAUUUCAUUGAAAGUUUUUUAAUUUCAUUGGAAGUUUUUAACAGGGAUUGAAAAAAUUUUUCAUAGCCAAUCGUCUUGCAGGACUUGUAAGUGUCUUCAAAUUGCUAC